RNAcentral lists this transfer RNA (72 nucleotides) under Phrynosoma platyrhinos (Desert horned lizard). RNAcentral describes it as "tRNA-OTHER". The record is from RNAcentral. Lineage: Eukaryota; Metazoa; Chordata; Lepidosauria; Squamata; Phrynosomatidae.
GCCAGCAUGGUGUAGUGGCUUGAAUGUUCGACUAUGACUCUGGAGACCAGGGUUCGAUUCCCCUUGUCCAUG